This 65-nucleotide transfer RNA is filed under the name Sciobius sp. SCI01. Its description in RNAcentral is "tRNA-Leu". Lineage: Eukaryota; Metazoa; Arthropoda; Insecta; Coleoptera; Curculionidae. The record is from RNAcentral.
AUUAUUUUGGCAGAAUAGUGCGAUAGAUUUAGAGUCUUUUAAUGUAAUUGAUUUUACAAAUAAUA